This 262-nucleotide long non-coding RNA is filed under the name Homo sapiens (human). RNAcentral's name for it is "non-protein coding lnc-DAZAP2-1:3". Lineage: Eukaryota; Metazoa; Chordata; Mammalia; Primates; Hominidae. The record is from RNAcentral.
GUAGUUACCAGAGUUCUGGUAUUCGCUACCCAUCAAGUCGUCACCCUGAGCCAUGGAAGGAGCCCUUCUUCUAGCCUUAUGAACCCACUCCACCCCUGGCGGACUCUUGACGGCUUCCCAAACGCUCCUUACGAAUGAAAAAGGAAUAAGAGAACCAAGAAAAAGAGAGAAGUUGACAUGAAGAUGGCAACAUGUUGUGCUGGUAUGGGGUGUUUCAGCCACAGGCAUCUCUCUGAAGGCUCCAGGCUUAAACCUGCCGUCU